RNAcentral lists this ribosomal RNA (299 nucleotides) under uncultured soil bacterium. RNAcentral describes it as "partial 16S ribosomal RNA". It matches the Rfam family "Bacterial small subunit ribosomal RNA", at positions 26 to 356 of the family's 1533-position model. The record is from RNAcentral.
AGAACGAACGCUGGCGGCAUGCCUAAUACAUGCAAGUCGAACGAUCCCUUCGGGGAUAGUGGCGCACGGGUGCGUAACGCGUGGGAAUCUGCCCUUGGGUUCGGAAUAACUUCGGGAAACUGAAGCUAAUACCGGAUGAUGACGAAAGUCCAGAGAUUUAUCGCCCAGGGAUGAGCCCGCGUAGGAUUAGCUAGUUGGUGGGGUAAAGCUCACCAAGGCAACGAUCCUUAGCUGGUCUGAGAGGAUGAUCAGCCACACUGGGACUGAGACACGGCCCAGACUCCACGGGAGCAGCAGUA